Molecule: ribosomal RNA, 711 nt
Filed under: Porogramme epimiltina
Lineage: Eukaryota; Fungi; Basidiomycota; Agaricomycetes; Polyporales; Polyporaceae
Description: eukaryotic LSU rRNA
Rfam family: 5.8S ribosomal RNA (bases 186-339)
Source: RNAcentral
CAUUAACGAGUUGAACGGGGUUGUAGCUGGCCUUCACGGGCAUGUGCACACCUCACUCAUCCACUCUACACCUGUGCACUUACUGUGGGUUUCGAGAGGCCGCGCUUGCGUGGUUGAUCGGGCUCACGUCUAUUACAAACUCUUCAGUAUCAGAAUGUGUAUCGCGAUGUAACGCAUCUAUAUACAACUUUCAGCAACGGAUCUCUUGGCUCUCGCAUCGAUGAAGAACGCAGCGAAAUGCGAUAAGUAAUGUGAAUUGCAGAAUUCAGUGAAUCAUCGAAUCUUUGAACGCACCUUGCGCUCCUUGGUAUUCCGAGGAGCAUGCCUGUUUGAGUGUCGUGUAAUUCUCAACCUAUAAAUCCUUGUGGUUUUUAGGCUUGGACUUGGAGGCUUUUGCUGGCUUUACCGUCGGCUCCUCUUAAACGCAUUAGCUUGAUUCCUUGCGGAUCGGCUCUCAGUGUGAUAAUUAUCUGCGCUGUGACCGUGAAGCGUUUGGCGAGCUUCUAACCGUCUCUUCGAGACAAACACUUUGACAUCUGACCUCAAAUCAGGUAGGACUACCCGCUGAACUUAAGCAUAUCAAUAAGCGGAGGAAAAGAAACUAACAAGGAUUCCCCUAGUAACUGCGAGUGAAGCGGGAAGAGCUCAAAUUUAAAAUCUGGCGGUCUUUGGCCGUCCGAGUUGUAGUCUGGAGAAGUGCUUUCCGCGCUG